CCUACGGGUGGCUGCAGUGAGGAAUAUUGGUCAAUGGGCGGAAGCCUGAACCAGCCAAGUAGCGUGCAGGAUGACGGCCCUACGGGUUGUAAACUGCUUUUAUACGGGAAUAACGCGCCUUACGUGUAGGUCUUUGCAUGUACCGUAUGAAUAAGGACCGGCUAAUUCCGUGCCAGCAGCCGCGGUAAUACGGAAGGUCCGGGCGUUAUCCGGAUUUAUUGGGUUUAAAGGGAGCGUAGGCCGGAUGUCAAGCGUGCUGUGAAAGGUCCGGGCUCAACCCGGGCCGUGCAGCGCGAACUGGCGUGCUGGAGUCCGCAGAAAGCAGGCGGAAUUCGUGGUGUAGCGGUGAAAUGCUUAGAUAUGACGAAGAACCCCGAUUGCGAAGGCAGCUUGCUGCAGCGGAACUGACGCUGAUGCUCGAAAGCGCGGGUAUCGAACAGGAUUAGAUACCCGAGUAGUC
This 460-nucleotide ribosomal RNA is filed under the name uncultured bacterium. RNAcentral's name for it is "partial 16S ribosomal RNA". It matches the Rfam family "Bacterial small subunit ribosomal RNA", at positions 338 to 795 of the family's 1533-position model. The record is from RNAcentral.